This 57-nucleotide ribosomal RNA is filed under the name Paraeutypella vitis. RNAcentral describes it as "Eutypella vitis partial 28S ribosomal RNA". Lineage: Eukaryota; Fungi; Ascomycota; Sordariomycetes; Xylariales; Diatrypaceae. RNAcentral also lists the same sequence under 1 other name. The record is from RNAcentral.
GUUUGACCUCGGAUCAGGUAGGAAUACCCGCUGAACUUAAGCAUAUCAAUAAGCGGA